RNAcentral lists this ribosomal RNA (387 nucleotides) under Triticum aestivum (bread wheat). Its description in RNAcentral is "partial small subunit ribosomal RNA". Lineage: Eukaryota; Viridiplantae; Streptophyta; Magnoliopsida; Poales; Poaceae. The record is from RNAcentral.
AUGUCUUCUUCUUCCUCCGCCAUCAACUCUAGCCUCAACUACAACACCUCCGAGCCACUUACCCGAACCAAUUACAUCCUAUGGCACGCACAGGCAAGAUCACAGAUCAUGGGUGCCGGCCUCUUCGGCUACCUAGACCAAACCAUUGCAGAACCACAAAAAACCCUUACCACCAAAAACGCCGAAGGGAAGGAUCAGGUUGUUGUGAACCCUGCCUACUCCCAAUGGCUCAUCCAAGACCAACAAAUCGUUGCUUACCUCCUCAGAAACCUAUCCAAAGAAGUUCUUGUCCAGGUUGCUUCGCUUCAGAAAUCACAUGCGAUAUGGACCGCGCUUGGGAACAUGUUCUCGGCCAUGUCUCUCUCACAAUUUUCAAGCCCUCGUUGA